Molecule: non-coding RNA, 54 nt
Organism: Salmo salar (Atlantic salmon)
Lineage: Eukaryota; Metazoa; Chordata; Actinopteri; Salmoniformes; Salmonidae
Source: Rfam
UGCACUCACUACUGUAAGUCGCUUUGGAUAAGAGCAUCUGCUAAAUGACUAAAA